GCCUGGCUGGCUUAGUGGAUAGAGCAUGUGACUCUUGAUCUCAGGGUUGUGAGUUUGAACCCCACAUUGGGUA
RNAcentral lists this transfer RNA (73 nucleotides) under Ailuropoda melanoleuca (giant panda). It matches the Rfam family "tRNA". From Rfam's summary of the family: Transfer RNA (tRNA) molecules are approximately 80 nucleotides in length. Their secondary structure includes four short double-helical elements and three loops (D, anti-codon, and T loops). Further hydrogen bonds mediate the characteristic L-shaped molecular structure. tRNAs have two regions of fundamental functional importance: the anti-codon, which is responsible for specific mRNA codon recognition, and the 3' end, to which the tRNAs corresponding amino acid is attached (by aminoacyl-tRNA synthetases). tRNAs cope with the degeneracy of the genetic code in two manners: having more than one tRNA (with a specific anti-codon) for a particular amino acid; and 'wobble' base-pairing, i.e. permitting non-standard base-pairing at the 3rd anti-codon position. The record is from Rfam by way of RNAcentral. Lineage: Eukaryota; Metazoa; Chordata; Mammalia; Carnivora; Ursidae.